This 263-nucleotide ribosomal RNA is filed under the name uncultured Actinomycetales bacterium. RNAcentral describes it as "partial 16S ribosomal RNA". It matches the Rfam family "Bacterial small subunit ribosomal RNA", at positions 221 to 497 of the family's 1533-position model. Lineage: Bacteria; Bacillati; Actinomycetota; Actinomycetes; Actinomycetales. The record is from RNAcentral.
UUGGAUGAGCCCGCGGCUUAUCAGCUUGUUGGUGAGGUAAUGGCUCACCAAGGCUUCGACGGGUAGCCGGCCUGAGAGGGUGACCGGCCACACUGGGACUGAGACACGGCCCAGACUCCUACGGGAGGCAGCAGUGGGGAAUAUUGGACAAUGGGCGGAAGCCUGAUCCAGCAACGCCGCGUGAGGGAUGACGGCCUUCGGGUUGUAAACCUCUUUCAGCACAGACGAAGCGCAAGUGACGGUAUGCAUAUGAGUUCCCACGC